AUUUUCUUUAAUUUGUAGUUUAUGGUGAUUUCUUUCCUCAUUGUAAAUGUAAGUUUUAUAACUCAUUUUGUAUUCACAAAUUUGGGUUCUUUUUCUUAAACAGAGCCCCCAAAUUGUGUAAGUUUUAGCCCCCACAAAACCUGGACCUUCCCCUGAUUUAUGCCCAUUUCGCAGGUGAGAAAACAAACUCUGGCCAAGUCUCGCCCUUACCCUGGAUCACACUGUUAGAAAGUGACAGAGCCGGGACACAAAGCCAGUGCUUUUCCUUCCUCACGAUACUGGCUCGUUCUCCCAGAGCCUGAAUGCAUUGGAUAAACCCCCUACAUUUCCUCUGCGGAGGCAGAAAGAAAGCAAGAUAGAGCAAUUGAAAAACGCAGAGGACUCGCUCAGGUUUCUAAGAGGGAUUCAGCGCGGCUUAUAGCGUCCUUCCCAUCCCCCUCAGGACCCUCGUCUGAACAGAAUUCAGUUGACGGGCAGCACUGGCGGCCCUGUCCCAGACUCAGAGUCAAGUACAUCCAUGGGAGGUAAAGACUGGGCACAACAAACGUGCUCUGGGAAUUCCUGCUCGCAGCUUCCUCCUGAGCACCUGCUGCCUGCCAGGCGCUCACCCCUGUACUUGUCUUUAUCCACAUGAACGUUUCUCCUUUUUUUUAAGGCCGAGCAGGUAGAAUACUCAGAGUGGCAUGUCCAGUAUCACAGGGCUGGUAAGAAACAGACACAGGCUGCAAACCAGAAAUCCUCCAAAGCCCUCUCCCAUUCGCCAGGAGGCUGCGGAAUUCAGACAGAUAAUCACCUUCUCAGGCCUGGAGGCAAAGCCGGAGAACCGUUAGUGGAAAGCGGAGAGGGAGGAGACUGAGGCACAGAGAGGCAGAAUCCCCCCAAAAGAAAUUUCCUUCAGGAAGAUGUCACCAUGCCCAGCGCCCUUUGAACACAAGGAACUCAGCGGGAGAGGAGGUGACGUGCCAAUCACUAGGAUGUCAGCGUCCACUUGUCCAUCAGAGGCUCCUGCAUCCCAGUCACGCAAGUAUCCGUUCACGUAGUCAUUUGUUCUGCAUUUGCUCAAGCACGUCAAGCCGCCGGCUUCCUGGCCAAGUGUGGGAGAGACGAGGGGAGAGACCUGGGCUCCCGUAAGUGGCACUAAGAGGACACAAGGCACAAGUGGGAGGAGAAUAGAAGACGGGGAUCUAAGGAAGGGAGCGUGGGCAACAUUUAAUUAAAUUGUGAAUACGUUUCAAGCUUUCUUUUCUUUACAAUGAGGCUCUGCCUGAUUGAAUUUCAGAA
This 1281-nucleotide long non-coding RNA is filed under the name Sus scrofa (pig). RNAcentral's name for it is "lncRNA (ENSSSCG00045023587.1)". The record is from RNAcentral. Lineage: Eukaryota; Metazoa; Chordata; Mammalia; Artiodactyla; Suidae.